RNAcentral lists this ribosomal RNA (318 nucleotides) under Lumbriculus variegatus. Its description in RNAcentral is "partial 16S ribosomal RNA". It matches the Rfam family "Bacterial large subunit ribosomal RNA", at positions 1959 to 2517 of the family's 2925-position model. The record is from RNAcentral. Lineage: Eukaryota; Metazoa; Annelida; Clitellata; Lumbriculida; Lumbriculidae.
GCAUAAUCAUUUGUCCAUUAAUUGUGGACUGGAAUGAAUGGGUUAAUGAAAUUUAAGCUGUCUCUAAUUAACAUUAUAAAAACUAGUCAUUAAGUGAAGAAACUUAAAUUAAAUUGAAAGACAAGAAGACCCUAUAGAGCUUUACUCUAACCUAAAAUAACUAUUUUAGCAACAGUUCGGUUGGGGCGACCAGGGAGCAUCAUCUCUAAACAAACAGAAAAAUAAUUCAUACAAUAUGACCCUUUAAAGAUCAUAAAAUCAAGCUACCUUAGGGAUAACAGGCUAAUUUUCCUACAGAGACCUUAUUAACAGGAAAGA